AACGCGAAGAACCUUACCUAGGUUGAACUACGCAGGAAUAGCCACAGAGAUGCGGUGUCCUUCGGGGCCUGCGAUAGGUGGUGCAUGGCUGUCGUCAGCUCGUGUCGUGAGAUGUUGGGUUAAGUCCCGCAACGAGCGCAACCCUUAUCCUAUGUUGCCAGCGCGUAAUGGCGGGGACUCGUGGGAGACUGCCGGGGUCAACUCGGAGGAAGGUGGGGACGACGUCAAGUCAUCAUGCCCCUUAUGUCUAGGGCUGCAAACAUGCUACAAUGGCUGGUACAAAGGGCUGCAAAACCGCGAGGUCGAGCGAAUCCCAAAAAGCCAGUCUCAGUUCGGAUUGAAGUCUGCAACUCGACUUCAUGAAGCUGGAGUCGCUAGUAAUCCCGGAUCAGCAACGCCGGGGUGAAUACGUUCCCGGGUCUUGUACACACCG
Molecule: ribosomal RNA, 433 nt
Filed under: uncultured bacterium
Lineage: Bacteria
Description: bacterial SSU rRNA
Rfam family: Bacterial small subunit ribosomal RNA
Source: RNAcentral